RNAcentral lists this long non-coding RNA (221 nucleotides) under Elaeis guineensis (African oil palm). RNAcentral's name for it is "long non-coding RNA (EGUI_LNC050394)". Lineage: Eukaryota; Viridiplantae; Streptophyta; Magnoliopsida; Arecales; Arecaceae. The record is from RNAcentral.
UAUGGGAAACAAAAAUCCUAAUACGUUAAUUGGAUUUUUAAUAGGUGCUGUGGUUCCACCGAUGCCAUGCAGCUCACCUAACAGUUAUUGAAAACAUGCACUCCGAUGCAUGGACAACUCUUUCCCAGAUAUUUCUCUAAGCAUAUUAUAGCAACAUGGUCUCUAAGUUAUGUGGGUUUACCUAACAGUUAUUGACCAUACUCAUUAGUUAAAUCUGACCC